RNAcentral lists this ribosomal RNA (494 nucleotides) under uncultured bacterium. RNAcentral's name for it is "partial 16S ribosomal RNA". It matches the Rfam family "Bacterial small subunit ribosomal RNA", at positions 28 to 507 of the family's 1533-position model. The record is from RNAcentral.
GACGAACGCUGGCGGCGUGCUUAACACAUGCAAGUCGAACGGAAAGGCCUGCUUUCCCUUGUGGUUUGCGGGUACGCGAGUGGCGAACGGAUGAGUAACGCGUGAGUGAUCUACCCCCGACUUAGGUAUAAGCCCGGGAAACUGGGUCUAAUUACAGCUAGGACCGCAGGGUGGUGGCUGUGGUGGAACAAGAGCAUCAAGCGAAUGGGGAUGCGCGCGCGGCCUAUCAGCUUGUUGGGGGGGUAAUCGCCUAGCAAGGCGGCGACGGGCAGCCGGCCGGGGAGGGUGGACGUGCGCAUUGGGACUGAGGCACGGCCCAGAGUCCGACGGGAGGCGGGAGUGGUGAGUAUUGGACGAUGGGCGGAAGGCUGAUGCAGCCGUGCCGCGUGGGGGUUGUCGGCCUUCGGGUUGUAAUCUGCUUUCGAGAGCGAGGAAGCCACCUGGUUGGACGGGUGGUGACGGUAGUUGUAGAGGAAGCACCGGCUAACUACGUG